AAAGUUGCAAAGUACUUUGAAGAGAGAGUAAACAGUGCGUGAAACCGCUCAGAGGUAAACGGGUGGAGUUGAACUGCAAGCCCAGGGAAUUCAGCUGGUGAACUUGGUUUGAGCUUGGUCAAAUUGGUUGUACACUGAGGUCUGUGUAGCAGCAGGUCUCUGCCUUCGGGUAGGGAUGCGCGAGGCACUCAUCAAGUGUUGCGCGCUUCAGAUGUAUUCGGGCCAGUUUGCCAGUGCAUUUUCUCUGGGUGUUCACCAUGACCGGCACUGCUGUCUGGCUGUUGUGGUUAAACCGGCUUUGCAUCGUCCUUGUGGCUUUACUUGGUCGGGAUGGCAGGUAGCCUGUGGGCUAGUCUGGGGCAACUCAGGCAAUUGGUUCAUGGGUGUAAUCAGCUGACCAUGAUGGUUCUGUGCAGUGUGUCGGAGACGGCGGCUUGUGGUGUGAGCAUGCGUGCUGCUUGCUGGCUUGUUCAGGUUUGGUUGCCAUGUUGCUUGUUCUACAGGCCUGGUGACAGCUUGGAUAUGUCUGGUGGGUUGUUGCGUGUGUGAUACUAUUUCCAGGGCCAAUAGUCUAUGGUGUAGUGGUAGACGAUCCACCUGACCCGUCUUGAAACACGGACCAAGGAGAGUAACAUGUGUGCGAGUCAUUGGGCGUAACGAAACCCACAGGCGCAGUGAAAGUAAAGGUUUGGCUUGUCCAGACUGAGGUGGGAUCCUGUCGUGCCAAACGCGCGGUACUACCAAGCAUUGAGCGGCAGGCGCACCACCGGCCCGUCCCAUGGCGUAGUCAUUGUUUACAGUGCACCGUCGGGGCGGAGCAUGAGCAUACAUGUUGAGACCCGAAAGAUGGUGAACUAUGCUUGCGCAGGUUGAAGCCAGAGGAAACUCUGGUGGAGGACCGUAGCGAUUCUGACGUGCAAAUCGAUCGUCAAACGUGAGUAUAGGGGCGAAAGACUAAUCGAACCAUCUAGUAGCUGGUUCCCUCCGAAGUUUCCCUGGGAUAG
Molecule: ribosomal RNA, 1004 nt
Filed under: Opechona pharyngodactyla
Lineage: Eukaryota; Metazoa; Platyhelminthes; Trematoda; Plagiorchiida; Lepocreadiidae
Description: partial large subunit ribosomal RNA
Rfam family: Eukaryotic large subunit ribosomal RNA
Source: RNAcentral